CUCACUCGCUGACGCUGUCUUUCCGCCGAGGUGGACGUGAGUCCUUUUCAUUUACAGCUCUUCUUCCAGCUAGCAAAUUUUUUCCUCUCCAGUUCUCAUCCCUCCCCAAAGGAAGGGGAGGAAGGAGGUUGUGUGUGUUUUUCCUUGAAAUUUUUAUCACAAAAUUAUAAUACACUCAAAGGGAAACUCACCGUCAUGAAAAAGCAGUGCCUUGUCAACGGGGUUUCCUCGCCAUCACAUCACGGGCCGGCGGGGCAGUGGCGCUCAUGCAGAUAGCCGCAACUACAAGCAGACAGCCCCGAGGAAAUCACCAACACGACUGCACAUAAUGCCUGUACUACCAGAACAGAUAAAAAUUUAAGACUGAAUGUACUCGGAAAUGCACUUGAGGGAAUUAAACGAAUCUGUUCAUUUUUUCAAUCAAA
Conger conger (European conger) is the source of this 425-nucleotide long non-coding RNA. RefSeq lists it as uncharacterized. The record is from RefSeq and is a predicted model, not a curated record. The transcript has 2 exons. Lineage: Eukaryota; Metazoa; Chordata; Actinopteri; Anguilliformes; Congridae.